AUUAACGCUAGCGGCAGGCAUAAUACAUGCAAGUUGAACGGCAGCACAGGUAGCAAUAUUGGGUGGCGAGUGGCGCACGGGUGCGUAACACGUAUGCAACCUACCCUAUACAGGCGAAUAACCUUUAGAAAUGAGGGCUAAUACGCCGUAGUAUUACAGAUGGGCGUCUAUUUGUAAUUAAAGAUUUAUCGGUAUAGGAUGGGCAUGCGUCCCAUUAGUUAGUUGGUAAGGUAACGGCUUAC
This 242-nucleotide ribosomal RNA is filed under the name uncultured bacterium. RNAcentral's name for it is "partial 16S ribosomal RNA". It matches the Rfam family "Bacterial small subunit ribosomal RNA", at positions 29 to 268 of the family's 1533-position model. The record is from RNAcentral.